UCCGAGUUGUCCCCGGCAGUCCUCUUAGAGUCCCCGGCAUUACCCGCUGGCAACUAAGAGCAGGGGUUGCGCUCGUUGCGGCACUUAAGCCAACACCUCACGGCACGAGCUGACGACAGCCAUGCAGCACCUGUGCUAGCCCCUUACGGACACGGGCUUUCACCCGCUUUAACUAGCAUGUCAAGCCUAGGUAAGGUGGGGAUGACGUUCGUCUGAC
This 217-nucleotide unclassified non-coding RNA is filed under the name uncultured Actinomycetes bacterium. Its description in RNAcentral is "uncultured actinobacterium contains 16S-23S intergenic spacer region". The record is from RNAcentral. Lineage: Bacteria; Bacillati; Actinomycetota; Actinomycetes.